RNAcentral lists this ribosomal RNA (301 nucleotides) under uncultured bacterium. RNAcentral's name for it is "partial 16S ribosomal RNA". It matches the Rfam family "Bacterial small subunit ribosomal RNA", at positions 509 to 807 of the family's 1533-position model. The record is from RNAcentral.
CAGUAGCCGCGGGAAAACGAAGGGGGCUAGCGUUGCUCGGAAUGACUGGGCGUAAAGGGCGCGUAGGCGGAUUGUUUAGUUAGGCGUGAAAUUCCUGGGCCUAACCUGGGGACUGCGCUUAAUACAGGCAGUCUAGAGUGAGGAAGAGGGUUGUGGAAUUCCCAGUGUAGAGGUGAAAUUCGUAGAUAUUGGGAAGAACACCGGUGGCGAAGGCGGCGACCUGGUCCUUUACUGACGCUGAGGCGCGAAAGCGUGGGGAGCAAACAGGAUUAGAUACCCCAGUAGUCCCUGUCUCUUAUAC